UGCGUAGGCGGGCUAAUAAGUCAGUGGUGAAAUCUCUCGGCUCAACCGGGAAACUGCCAUUGAUACUGUUAGUCUUGAGUUCGGUUGAGGUAGGCGGAAUGUGUAAUGUAGCGGUGAAAUGCUUAGAUAUUACACGGAACACCAAUUGCGUAGGCAGCUUACUAGACCGACACUGACGCUGAGGCACGAAAGCGUGGGGAGCGAACAGGAUUAGAUACCCUGGUAGUCC
This 229-nucleotide ribosomal RNA is filed under the name uncultured bacterium. Its description in RNAcentral is "partial 16S ribosomal RNA". It matches the Rfam family "Bacterial small subunit ribosomal RNA", at positions 568 to 796 of the family's 1533-position model. The record is from RNAcentral.